Molecule: long non-coding RNA, 1057 nt
Filed under: Nicotiana benthamiana
Lineage: Eukaryota; Viridiplantae; Streptophyta; Magnoliopsida; Solanales; Solanaceae
Description: long non-coding RNA (NBEN_LNC038968)
Source: RNAcentral
CUCAUAGACUAAGAAUGAGUCUGAGAGAGUCAAAUGGUUCUGAAUAGAACCCUAGUCCAAACAUAAAAUCAAGCCUGCGAAAAACCCCAAACACUAGGGUUUCUGACUCGAAUCAGAUGCAUAGACGAUAAGACAAUAACUAGAACAGCAGGCUCAAGGCAAAUGUAAUGUAGAAACCAAUUUAAAGCACAGGGAACACGUUUUAAGCAAAGCUUGUCACUCAAACAAGUUCAGUAGAGAAAAAGCGAUACAAGCUUAAGAGAAUAAUAGAUGAAACAUGUCUAGAAAGAACUCAAACAAAGCCCAGAAGAAGGAGAGUAAAGAGCUAAGCCUUAGUAGAAAAGUCAGUAAAAGAACACGGGGUAAAUGAACAUGUGAAAGCAUGAUAUAGAAUUAGAAGAAAGAGCGAAGCACAGUAAUGCAGGCAUAAGAACAUAACAUAGGCAGAUACACCCAAAGAAAAGAAGAAGAAGAAUCAUGCUUAAUAGAAAGAAAAACAGGAGAUCAAAUACAUGAGUAGUUGAGAAGAAAAAAUAAGAGACAAACAUAGACAGACACACAUAAAGAUAAAAGUAGACAAAAUCAAAAGGAUUUUCAAAAAUCCUAGUUUUAAAAUCAAACGAUUUUAAAAAGGAAAAAUUAGCGAAAAAUCUUAAAACGUCGAAUAUAGCACAGAUAUAGAAUAGAUAUAAGGAAACAACCAUAGAAACCUCAAAUAGCUUUAGGGUUUCAGAGAAAUCCUAGAAAUUAGAAGGCUUGGAAGAAAGUAUGGUCUCGAAUCGGAGAUGGCUAGAGAUAGCCUCCUAAAGCUUUAACAUGCCAGAGCAAGGCCGGAGAGGCCAUAGAACCUUGGAUCUGAGAAGAUCUGAACCGAAAUAGCUGAGGUCAGACCUCGAAUCUUAAAACACCCAAGGUUUAAGGGUGAAGGCAGGUGACCACAGACCGUCCAUGGCCGGAGAAGCCAUGGACUUCGGUGAGAUUAUGGUCAGAGAAGGGUGAGACGGGCUGGAGUUUCAGUACAACAGAGUUUGAGAGAGGGAGAGAUUUUUGAGGUGGC